Molecule: long non-coding RNA, 443 nt
Organism: Sorghum bicolor (sorghum)
Lineage: Eukaryota; Viridiplantae; Streptophyta; Magnoliopsida; Poales; Poaceae
Exons: 3
Source: RefSeq, a predicted model, not a curated record
AAUAAAGCAAUCUGUACUUGACAUCGAACGGUUUCCAAGAACAGGUGUGGACGAGCACACACUAAACAACUUUCUUGGAAGACUAGCACGUAGGCUUAGGCGUGCUGCAGCUCGGUGCGGUUGCGGUACUAGUGCUGCGAUGAAUGUGCAUGUGCCACAGGAACGACAAUGCAACACACCUGUUGUGCAUGGUACAUCUUCUUUGGGAGGAUCUGGAGGACAGAGCUCGUCUCGGCCAACUAUGGACACUUUUCAAAGCGAUGAUGAUGAGGACGAAGAGGGGGUGGCCGAGGAGCGUGACUAUGACGAGCUUGGGUUAUCUCAGCUUCCUGAUGCUCCUUCUACUCAGCCUACGCAGGUUGCAAGAAGGCGACGUCGUUCGCCUUCUAGGUACACUCCAGGCACCGAUGCUCUUGGCCACAAGGGUAAGGGUAAGACUAGGA